GCAGCUACCAGUAGAUAACCGAUCUAUAACAAAUCUUGAAUUUUUUUUGUUGUAUGAAACUUCUGUUUUUACAACUUUUAGCGAUGGAUCCCUCGGCUCGGGUAACGAUGAAGGACGCAGCAAAGUGCGAUAAGCGCUGUGAAUGGCAGAAUUCCGCG
Molecule: ribosomal RNA, 158 nt
Filed under: uncultured marine dinoflagellate
Lineage: Eukaryota; Dinophyceae
Description: 5.8S ribosomal RNA
Rfam family: 5.8S ribosomal RNA (bases 73-158)
About the family: 5.8S ribosomal RNA (5.8S rRNA) is a component of the large subunit of the eukaryotic ribosome.
Source: RNAcentral